This 476-nucleotide ribosomal RNA is filed under the name uncultured bacterium. RNAcentral's name for it is "bacterial SSU rRNA". It matches the Rfam family "Bacterial small subunit ribosomal RNA", at positions 34 to 507 of the family's 1533-position model. The record is from RNAcentral.
CGCUGGCGGCGCGCCUAACACAUGCAAGUCGAACGGAGUUAAUUGAUCUGAAGUUUUCGGAUGGAAGAAUGGUUAACUUAGUGGCGAACGGGUGAGUAACACGUGAGUAACCUGCCUUUCAGUGGGGGACAACAUUUGGAAACGAAUGCUAAUACCGCAUAAGACCACGCUGGGACAUCCCAGAGAGGUCAAAGCAGCAAUGCGCUGAAAGAUGGGCUCGCGUCCGAUUAGCUAGUUGGUGAGGUAACGGCCCACCAAGGCAACGAUCGGUAGCCGGACUGAGAGGUUGAACGGCCACAUUGGGACUGAGACACGGCCCAGACUCCUACGGGAGGCAGCAGUGGGGAAUAUUGCACAAUGGAGGAAACUCUGAUGCAGCGACGCCGCGUGAGGGAAGAAGGUCUUCGGAUUGUAAACCUCUGUCUUUGGGGACGAUAAUGACGGUACCCAAGGAGGAAGCACCGGCUAACUACGUG